GUAUGAAAAUGAAAAAUUUAGGCAAUCCAAUCAUUGGAAACCAUUGAAUAAUUUAUAUUUUUAUUUCUAUUUUUUUUACCCUCACCAAAUCCUUGAUACCAAAUCCUUGAUACAAACAAAGUCUUAAAAAUUGGGGGUUAUGUUGUGCUUAAAAGAUCAACUUGCUCAUUCUUGAUCUCUUCCAAGGAGAUCUGGGAGGCCAUGAUGGCACAACCAAAAGGAAGAAAGAAAGAGAGCACUCUCUCUCUCUCAAUCUCUCUCCCUAUCUCACUCCUACUUUUUUUCUCUCUCUCUCUAGUCCCUGCCUUUGGGCAUGCAAGAACAGAGUCUUUAAAAGGGAGGGGAAAGACAAGUGGGUGGUAUUUCAAGAAUUCUAUAACUAAUUUUUCAAGAGAAUUGCGCGGCAACGUUAACGAACUGGUCUGCGGGCAACCUGUGAUCGCCUGUUUCUUAGCAGGUGGCCAGUGAGUGUUAGCUAUAGGCUUUGAGAUCCUCCAAAAACUUUGGUUAAUAUAUGGUGUUUAGAGUCUCA
RNAcentral lists this long non-coding RNA (532 nucleotides) under Actinidia chinensis (golden kiwifruit). Its description in RNAcentral is "long non-coding RNA (ACHI_LNC000472)". The record is from RNAcentral. Lineage: Eukaryota; Viridiplantae; Streptophyta; Magnoliopsida; Ericales; Actinidiaceae.